UAAAGGUCACUUAUCAGAUUAUUUAUAAAU
Molecule: non-coding RNA, 30 nt
Filed under: Rattus norvegicus (Norway rat)
Lineage: Eukaryota; Metazoa; Chordata; Mammalia; Rodentia; Muridae
Source: RNAcentral